Colius striatus (speckled mousebird) is the source of this 280-nucleotide long non-coding RNA. RefSeq lists it as uncharacterized. The record is from RefSeq and is a predicted model, not a curated record. The transcript has 2 exons. NCBI's taxonomy places the organism in Eukaryota, Metazoa, Chordata, Aves, Coliiformes, Coliidae.
ACACCGCCGUCCCUUCCGCAGGUCGCGGCCCGCGACUUCCUCAGUAAUGGCUCGGCUCGGCUCGGCUCGGUGGGGCGUGUCUCGAGUGUCAGCGCCACGGCGAAGCCCUUAGAAUUUGUAUUUUCAAGAUCUUCUCCAUAUAUAUCUGACCAGAAGAUUUUGUUGUGACCAGAAAAAUAUUGAAGAAACAUUGAAGAAAAAAUAUUGAAGAAAAUAUUGAAGGACCUGAAAUGCUGGAAGACUAUUUUAAUUAUAAAGUAGAAUGGGCCAGUUAAAAAUA